RNAcentral lists this long non-coding RNA (4708 nucleotides) under Solanum lycopersicum (tomato). RNAcentral's name for it is "partial TCONS_00114197". The record is from RNAcentral. Lineage: Eukaryota; Viridiplantae; Streptophyta; Magnoliopsida; Solanales; Solanaceae.
UUUUAACCUCAACAUUUAUAGCUUAACAGUUAACCCUAUAAUAAAGUGACAAAUUCUAUUCAAUUUCAAGUAGACUUUGCCCAUUCCGCAAGUUAAUCACUCUGAACUGAAAUCUGUUUGAGCCAUGUACAUUUACAGAGGUUUGAAGCGGUUUAGAAUCUCUGAUUCAUCAAUUGUUAAUCGUCUAACAGUGCCUCAGUUGAAAAGAAAAGCUUCUAAUUCAUGGUCUGCUAUUCAGGACACUUUUUAUUCAACAAAGGUACUGUCUUUUCUUCUUUUUGAACUUUUUUUUUUUGUGAUUCUUUGAUGGAUAUUUGAUUGUUUUUAUGGGUUUUAGAUUAAAUUUUUUUAUUUUUGUGUGAGAAUGAACAUAUGUAAUAGUGAAAAUGUAAAUUCUUUCUUUUGUUUUGGUGUGAUUUUAUUGGGGAAUAGGAUAUAUUUGAGAGGCAUAAGGUGGUGUUCACAAUCUCGACGUCAAUAGCAUCAGUUGCUACAGCAUGGUUCGGUAUGUUGAUGGUUUUGUCCUCACUUUUAUUAACUUGCUUGCUAAUUCUUGUUGGAGUUUUGGGGUAUUCAUUUAUUACCAUUUAAUGUUGUUUUUCAUUCUUUGGCUUGAGAAGAAGUUUUGAUAUGCAAGAGAGUAAUUAUUCUUCAUUUAAUAAGUAAGAAGAGGCUUGCCUAUACACUUUCUAGUGUACACGUUGUGUUUUUUGAUUGGAGCUUGUCACUCACUACCUGGAUCAAUUAGCCUAUUCUAGUUUGCAUUGUGUCAUCCGAUUUUAGGGAAUUCGUUGGUUAAUGAAAUUGCUUCACACUUCCCAUAUGGAGGGAAUGAAGAUGAACUUGUCCCAUAAAAAGUGAAAAAAACUUGAAUGGGAGUGAUUGGUCAUUGAGAAAGAUGUGUUUUUGACAAAAUUCAUUGAACACCAUACACAAGUCAAAGCUUUUAGAGAGAAUGCAGAAAGAACUUGAAGGAAGUUUCAACAAUUUUAUUCUAUGUGUAACACACACUUCUCCAGUUAUAUACAAGAUGCUGCUACUUGCAAUGUACCAUAUCUAAAUUAAUGUGGUCCAAAGUAUUUAAUCAAAUGUUAUACCAACUGGAACGGACUGAUUAAUGAAAAGAACUUUAGCUACUUAAUCACCUACAAUCUCUUGAGUUAAUGAUGUAAAGACAAAGUCUUCUUUGCUUGAGUGAGCUCCUCUUGCAUAUAAGCCUUCUUGCCAACACCCUUGUUCAAGUUGGAGCCCUAUUAGGAGAUCAUUAUAGGUAGGGAAUGGUAGUGACUUAGUAAAAUGAUCUGCCUAUUGAGACAGAUAAGUGUAAAACGAAUUGACAUAUGGUCUCAAUCAAUUCCUCCCUGCUAUGACAAUCACACUCAAUGUGUUUUGUGCUUUUAAAAGAAACUGGAUCCAGUAAGGUAAAUGGAUACUUGAUUGUCACAGUCCAAGGGACAAGAGUAAUGGAUGUGACAAUCAGUUCAUCUAGCUGUCUAAAUACCUAAGACAAUUGUACCACCAGUUCUCUAAUCGAAUUAUAUAUAGCCUCUGCUGAAGAUAAAAAAAAUGGCAAGCUGCUUCUUAGACUUCCAACAGAGCAAUCUGGUACCUAAUAAAACCACACAGACAAAAACUGGUCUCCGUGAUCACUGUUCAGAAAACUUGAGUUGAAAAGAAGCAAAGAGGCACAUAAAAACUGUGCGUAGGAUCUUUUUUGAUGUUUCGAGGACCUGAGAUUGUAGCAGGGAACCCUUGAAGAUUGCUUAAAUUGAUUGAGGUUUAACCAACAAAGGAUAUAUCAGAUCUGGUGUGAGGAGGUUUGACUUCUGAAUAAGUUUAUUCUACUGGUCAGAACCAUCUUUGACAUCCAGAUAAUUAGCAGCUGAACCUGCUAACUAACUGAAUAAUUAUAUAACAAUGAUUCAUGUGAAAUUUUUCUAAAUCCUCAAAAAUUACCAUAACUUGAUUUAGAUGCAUAUGGUCGAGGGCGUGUAGAGGGAGGGGACGUGGUUGAGGAAUGCUCUGAAAUUAAACUAAUAGAACUAAAGCAAACUUUUGUUGAGGAGUCAGAAAUCUUUAGGUUCCUGCAGCAGCCAAAUCCAACUCGUAACAAAAAAGAUUUGAAUCUUUAAUUAGAGCUCCUUCCUCUCCAACACCUUACUUCAAGUUGGAAAUGGGAGGACGAACAAGUUUUGGCAGGAUUUUGGUUGGUCAAUGCAGGAAUAUCAACUUCUGGUGUAGCUUAAAUGACUGGGAAGUGGACACUGUGUCCUUGUUACUGCUCCAGCUUCACAACAACAAUCCUGAAUUUCCGAACCUGAUUUUCUGAUUUGGAAAGGUGAUGCAAAAGGAAAAUUUACAGUAAAAGCAUGGUACAACCAACCAAGUGACCUUUCUGCUACCUUUGUCAUUGGCCUUGGGAGUGUAUUUGGAGGUAAAAGGCACUUUGAGGCUGGAGUAUUUCACCUGGUAGUAGACUAGGGAGCAUGCUUAACUCAUGAAAAUCACUAGAAAGAGGGGUCAAUCGUCAAUAAAUGAAGCAGACAUUCACUAAAAAUGGAAGCCAAAAAGAGGAUAUCACUCGCCUUUAGUGAAGGCAAAAUGAGGAUAUCAAUCACCUCUUCUUCUAUUACUCUUUCAUCAAGCAAAUCUGGGAUCUGAUACUAGACAUUUUGGGAGUUGACUAGAUUAUGCCAAGGACAACCAAGGAGCUGUUGCGAUGCUGGUACACCAUACAUUAAAGGGAUGGAAAAGGCAAAAAUAAAGUAAAAGUUGACAUGAAGUGAAGAAAUGAUUACACAUUUUUUAAUUAAGAAAUUAUAAAAUAUAGUAGAAUUCAUAACUUAAGCAUUUUAAACAGUAAAUUCUUGCCAUUCAAUAUAGUGCUGCUACCAUUAUGCUUGCAACUUAAACUUUGAUCUGCUCUCCAACGUGCUCAUCUGUCAAUUAACUCGUAGGAUUUCUCCAUUCCCGACAAAUAAGAUGUCUAUUACCUCUAUAAACACUGUUUGGUUUUUAAAAAUCAGUUGACCGCAAGCAUAUUAGAGUGUCUCCAAUAUGCAAGAAGUUCUGAUCCAUUGAAUAUGACCUAUAAUUUUAGAUAUCUUGCCCAUCAGUGAGACUGUUAUUUUGCAUAAUUGAUCAGCUGACAGUUGAGUGAAUGAGAUUUUUAAGGUUGUUUGUCAAGGAUGUUCAUACGACCUAUCUUUAAAAUAUGUAAAAGUCACAUCUCCAACUUCAUUGUGCCUGGCUUCACAUUUCUUUGAUGGCUUGAUGCUUCUCUUGUAUAUUCACAGCACAACAUUUGAUUGACAGCGCCAAGUGUGUUUUUUCGUUAGAGUAUCUCCUUUGUCUUCUUAUAUGAUGCGUGGCCUGUCUGUAUUUGAACCCUUGGCUACAUUGUGAAUUGUCUUGUUUGGUGCACAAAUGUGGAUUUGGCUUAUAUUGGUUGACUUGGUUCCUUAGAAUUAUCUGCUAAAUACGUGCUAGAAGUGCAUAUAUUGAUCUCUUGUUCGUUUUAUGUUUAUAUUAGCUACUCUUCUUUCCCUAGAUACUUUGUUUAUGCCAUAUUUAAGCUGUCAAACAAUUGCAGGUUAUACUUUAAGACAUCUUCAUGAAUCAAGAGUUGAUCAACGGCUUGAAUCUAUAGAGAAAGCUGUAAGUACUCAUUGCAGAAUAAUGUUGUCCCACAAAUAUUUUACUAUUUCUGUUCAAAAGAAUAAGGUGUGUACUACACAAGAGAAUUUGUUGGAGUGCAAUAUAGAAGGGGUGUAGGCUUGUUGGUAUUAAUUCUUCAACAAUAUGCCCUUACAAAAUAGUGUAAUUAUUUUUUAUACAAAUAAGUGCAAUUAAGUACAUGAAGUUUAAAAAUAAAUUUAUUACAACCUAAAAUUAUUUGUGAUCGAGUGUCGCAUAAAACCUUUGAGUAGUUCUUUUUUUAUCCCCAAGGCAAUGAGAAGAUGUGGCAAAGUUGUCUUCUUUGGGUAAUUUGUAAUUAGAGUACACAUGGAACUUGACCUUCUCUACAUACUAUGGAUAUGGACCGAAUUGUUUAAGAUUUAUUGUUAAGCAUGGCAUGGAGUAUGGAAUGUGGAGUUAACUAAGUUUUACAUGUUCGCCAGCUUGUGUUACCUUCUUCUUCUUCUUUUUUUGUUGAGAAGGUAUCAUUUGUGAAUUUUCACUGAACCAGUACAUGGGUUGCACUGAAAACCAUGUUUACUCGUCAAAAAUGUAAGAAAAACAAAUCUAAAUUCUAGCAGGAACCUAGGAUAUCUAUAAUGGAUUCAGUGUUCUCUAAAUACAUCUGUUUGCACCAGAAGCAAAAAAGUCUGAUACAAUUUUGUUUUGAUCUUUUGAAGAUCAUAACUCUUGCUCUCAUAAUAUCUAGCAUUUCUUUCUUUUCGAACAGUCUACCAUAUACAGGCUGGGGCAAUCCUCCAUCUAUCUAUAUCUGCAGCUCCCACCCACUUCUCCCCAGCUGUACAAAAGAUGUGUGAUUUUGUUAGGCAUAGCCCAAGCAAAACCCAUGAGACUAAUGAAAAGCCUCCACAACUGAUAAAGCAAUAAUAUUUUAUGAAUGAAGGUCAAAGAUACAUGCAUACAAGGAGUGUACCAAAAAGUAGAAAAUUUUACAGAAGGAUGCUAUGACAAACACUCAAUUUUCUAUACAUUGUAUACUCACCUUCCUAGCAGCCUUAGGCAACCCGCC